RNAcentral lists this ribosomal RNA (484 nucleotides) under uncultured bacterium. RNAcentral describes it as "partial 16S ribosomal RNA". It matches the Rfam family "Bacterial small subunit ribosomal RNA", at positions 30 to 507 of the family's 1533-position model. The record is from RNAcentral.
AUUGAACGCUGGCGGUAGGCCUAACACAUGCAAGUCGAGCGGAUGAAGGGAGCUUGCUCCUGGAUUCAGCGGCGGACGGGUGAGUAAUGCCUAGGAAUCUGCCUGGUAGUGGGGGAUAACGUCCGGAAACGGGCGCUAAUACCGCAUACGUCCUGAGGGAGAAAGUGGGGGAUCUUCGGACCUCACGCUAUCAGAUGAGCCUAGGUCGGAUUAGCUAGUUGGUGGGGUAAAGGCCUACCAAGGCGACGAUCCGUAACUGGUCUGAGAGGAUGAUCAGUCACACUGGAACUGAAACACGGUCCAGACUCCUACGGGAGGCAGCAGUGGGGAAUAUUGGACAAAGGGCGAAAGCCUGAUCCAGCCAUGCCGCGUGUGUGAAGAAGGUCUUCGGAUUGUAAAGCACUUUAAGUUGGGAGGAAGGGCAGUAAGUUAAUACCUUGCUGUUUUGACGGUACCAACAGAAUAAGCACCGGCUAACUUCGUG